GGAAGAAUUUUAAAUAUAGAAAAGUGACGUGUUUUCUUCCGAAGUUAUCGAUGCGGGAACUAAUCUCAACAGUGGUGCGUAACUAUCUCCAACGUUUUGUGGUAGAAUCAAGUCCGAACAUAUAUAAAAACCGUAUAUUCCACCUGUCAAAUCAGGAUAGUUUUUUACCACGCUGAAACCAUAAUAACUUCCCGGCUCAAAUCCUAACAUCUCUCCAAUACCACUUUUUGAAAAUUAAAUGUAAAGCGAACCUUGUGGGUUAUAAUGCUGAUUCUUCCGUUUCCCGUAAAUGCAAACGACGCUUCGUUCUUUAGCCUCGCUUUAUUUAUUUGCUUGCUUAUAGCGUCUACCCAACGCCUCCUAGAAAACAGGCCUGAAUCUCUCCCGGACGCCCACGUCAUCACUAGUGGGGCAACUUACAUAAGCGACGCCAUUUUAGGUUUGCUAUAUAAUAUUAAUCCGAAAAUAUAUUUUGCAUAAAAUUUUAUAGAAUACUGUAUAGUCUUUAUGUAUUGAUAAAAUCCACAAUAAGAAAAAUAAGACUGUAGAAACUGACCAACAGAAAAAUCUCUAUGAUUUUAAAAUAUGACACUUUGUUUAAAUUGAAC
Molecule: long non-coding RNA, 608 nt
Filed under: Androctonus crassicauda
Lineage: Eukaryota; Metazoa; Arthropoda; Arachnida; Scorpiones; Buthidae
Source: RNAcentral